UGGAGCCUCUUGGAGCACAGUCAUGGGCAGAGCUCUCCCGGCUCCACCUCUGCCUCCCAUCAGGGGUGAAUAAGGCGGAAGCUGAGGGGACAGUCAUAGCCAGGACAGGAAUGUCACCCCCAGCUGGCAGACAGCACUCUGAGCAGCCAGGCCUGGGAUCCUCUGACCUGCCCACUACUUCAGGAGGCCAGUGUGCUCACUGCCACCCCACGGUCUGGGGACCCUGGACUCCAAACUUGCAGAAUGAAUCUUUGGUGAUGAAAGUGAGAAUCUGGGAGAGAUGUGAAAACUGGAAGAGAAACAGGAAGUACCUCCAGGAUUCGCCUAAAUAGAUGCUGCGGUUUCCAUCAAACCACAGGCCACCCCAGUAUCUCAGUGGCUUCUAUAGGUUGUCCUGAAAGAGCCAUGAGGCCAGACACCAAUUCCACCCUCCACCUUUCUGUGUCCGUCCCAGACCAAGGCAGCCCAGGAAACUCUCUAGGAGGUGUGUCUCCAGGAUAGAGGGCCAGUGGAGAAUGGCAGCCCACACUGUUAUGGGAUGAAGUGUGUCCCCCAAAAUCAACAUGUUGAAGCUCUA
RNAcentral lists this long non-coding RNA (577 nucleotides) under Pan troglodytes (chimpanzee). Its description in RNAcentral is "long non-coding RNA NONPTRT013959". Lineage: Eukaryota; Metazoa; Chordata; Mammalia; Primates; Hominidae. The record is from RNAcentral.